CAUCCGAUAUAACACCCAAAACAUAUUGCAAAAUAGUGAUGUAAUCCUGUCAGUAAUUACGACAACAUACAAUAGAACAUUGGCUAUUAUUAUAACUAGUUUGAAAAUUAGUUAAUUAUUAGAUCGUUUUUGGGGCUAGCGGUGUGUACGCGCAUACCAUUAUAGGACUUCGGUUCUUGCACUUACUGAUACCAUGUUUCCUAGUGCCUCCAACUCCUACUGAUCACAUAUUUUCCAUGUUCACAUAUUAGGCUAGUUUGUAAGGGACGACCAUCGCAGG
This 280-nucleotide long non-coding RNA is filed under the name Oryza brachyantha (malo sina). RNAcentral describes it as "long non-coding RNA (OBRA_LNC002935)". Lineage: Eukaryota; Viridiplantae; Streptophyta; Magnoliopsida; Poales; Poaceae. The record is from RNAcentral.